GACCCAGUGGCGGACGGUACCGCGCGCGCAUCGUAUGGAUAAGUACCCACAGUGGUAUAGCAGCGGAGAUCCUGGUUCGACUCCAGGCUGGGUCA
Molecule: non-coding RNA, 95 nt
Organism: Mycena vulgaris
Lineage: Eukaryota; Fungi; Basidiomycota; Agaricomycetes; Agaricales; Mycenaceae
Source: the annotation of a GenBank genome assembly